GGUCCACUCUACUACUCUUCGCAGCAAACUCCGCCUGAUCCUGGGCAGCCCACUGCCAGACGGUUACAGAUGUCGCUGUCAGGCUACUGCCCCCUCCGCCUAUAAAAGGGGGCUCCAGAUACGUUAUUCUAUAAGCUCUCAUCUUUUAUCUAAAAACUCUGCUAAAUUCUUCGUUCGAGCACUCCAUUCUUGUUGAGGCAGAGAACUG
RNAcentral lists this long non-coding RNA (208 nucleotides) under Elaeis guineensis (African oil palm). Its description in RNAcentral is "long non-coding RNA (EGUI_LNC035570)". Lineage: Eukaryota; Viridiplantae; Streptophyta; Magnoliopsida; Arecales; Arecaceae. The record is from RNAcentral.